AUACGUAGGGUGCGAGCGUUAAUCGGAAUUACUGGGCGUAAAGCGUGCGCAGGCGGUUUGCUAAGACAGUUGUGAAAUCCCCGGGCUCAACCUGGGAACUGCAAUUGUGACUGGUAGACUAGAGUUUGGCAGAGGGGGGUGGAAUUCCUGGUGUAGCAGUGAAAUGCGUAGAUAUCAGGAGGAACACCGAUGGCGAAGGCAGCCCCCUGGGCCAUGACUGACGCUCAUGUACGAAAGCGUGGGGAGCAAACAGGAUUAGAUACCCUGGUAGUCCACGCCCUAAACGAUGUCAACUAGUUGUUGGGUCUUUUUUGACUUGGUAACGUAGCUAACGCGUGAAGUUGACCGCCUGGGGAGUACGGCCGCAAGGUUAAAACUCAAAGGAAUUGACGGGGACCCGCACAAGCGGUGGAUGAUGUGGAUUAAUUCGAUGCAACGCGAAAAACCUUACCUAACCCUUGACAUGUUAGAAAUCUCUCAGAGAUGAGAGAGUGCUUGAAAAAAGAU
Molecule: ribosomal RNA, 507 nt
Filed under: uncultured beta proteobacterium
Lineage: Bacteria; Pseudomonadati; Pseudomonadota; Betaproteobacteria
Description: bacterial SSU rRNA
Rfam family: Bacterial small subunit ribosomal RNA
Source: RNAcentral